Zonotrichia albicollis (white-throated sparrow) is the source of this 7868-nucleotide non-coding RNA. Lineage: Eukaryota; Metazoa; Chordata; Aves; Passeriformes; Passerellidae. The record is from RefSeq and is a predicted model, not a curated record.
CCGGACGAGGCUGAGGCGGCUCCCGGAGCCCAGUCGGGCUGCCCGCGCCGGGAUCGAAGCUUCUGUCGUAGCGCCGAAGCUAUGUCUCGUCGUUCUUUACCUGUGCACUUGACCAGCGAGUCAGCUGGAAUUGCGUGACUGUGAUCGGCACUGCUUUCGCAGUAAAGGGGAGCUCAUAAGACGCGGUGAAUGUCGCGGUCUCUUCUCCGGCCGUUCAACGAGGGCCGGCGUGAGGAGGGGCUGCCUGCGCUGUGGAAGCCUCUGAGUCCCGGUCGCGGGACAGCGGAGCGCAGGCGGACUUGGGGCUGCUGCUCAGCUCCUCAGGAAUGCCACGUCCCUUUUGGCACCUGGUACUUUGGAAUUUAUACUCUCCUUGAAGGGAGGAUGGCAAGAAGAUGGAGCCAGGCUCUUCUCAGUGAUGCCCAGCAAUAGGAAAAGAGGCAAAGCACUGGUGCAUAGGAAGUUUCACCUGACCCUGAGGAAGAACUUCACUGUGUGGGUGAGAUGCACUGAACAGAUUGCCCGGAGAGGGUGUGGAAAGUCCCUCAUGGGAGAUAUUCCAGAAUGUACUGGACAUGAUCCUGUGUCAAGUGCUCUGGGAUGACCCUGCUUGAGCUGGGAGGUUGGGCCAGAUGACCUACCUGUGAUCCCUUCCAACCUGGACCAUUCUGUAAUUCUGUACCAGGGAAGGUGAUCUGUUCCCUCGUUUCCAGGGCUUUUGGAAUGCCUGGGCAUGUGCCUUUGCUGGCCAUCACAGCAGAAAGUCUCUCACAAGACUUUGAUCUAGGAUGGCACUUCAUUCCUGCAGACCUGUGACAAGUCAUGGCAGUGUCCCCUGAGUCGAGCUCACAGCAUGCUCAGGGGCUGCCUCCUCUGCAGUGUCCUGUGUUACCUCCUCAGUGGCCCAAGUGCAGGACAUACCUAUGAGUCAGCAGUAAAGCACACACCAAGAGGAUGUGUGGAACCCUUCAAAUCUCAAGCUCAUUGUAUCUGUCUGCAACUGAAGACUCAGGAAGCCUUGGGAAAGAGCGUGCCUCUUGCUUGCUUUCCUGAUUUGAUCUUACCAAGGGGCCAUGGUGGAUCAUGAAAAUCUCCCUGCUCCCAACUGAGCAGUCACAGAGAAGCACUGGAUGUCCAUCUUCCUCCUUUGGCCUUGUCCUCAUUUGGAUACUGACCCUCUCCCCAGCACAGAUCGUCUCUCCUUUGCUUGACAUCCUUGGUAUGCAAAACAUGGCUCCUCUGUCCUGCUAUUGCAGAGUGGGACUGAGAAGUGCAGGUGCUUGGAGCCAUCCUGUUGCUUGCUUCUCAUCUCCUUGCAGUGUUCCCAUGCCCCAGUUUCCCAGGAAUGGAUGUGAAUGCAGCUGUUGGGAGAGUCGGUGCCCAUCUGCCUGGGUCGAAUGCUGCACUGGGAGCAACACUGCUGUUGCCUGUGGGGCAGAGCCAGGAUGUGAGUGAACACUUCAGAAUCAGGCUGGGGUGUGCAAGUUCAAGCACAGAGAGAAGAAAUGCGUGAAGAACAGGAGGCUGAUAGAAAGGGAAUGGGAAGAAAGUGCAGUCCUUCCCUGAAUGCCAGUCAGGAGCUCAUAGCUGGCACUGGGGAACUGCUGUCUGCAGUCCAUGCUCUCCCUUCACAGGGAGCUCUUCUAGCCUGGCCACAGGCUCAAAACUGACUGAUAGCAUGCACAGGAAAGAGCCAAGAGGAGCUUACUCCAUCUGCUGAGAAAGCAGGUCUGCCUUCAGCUGCUCGUGCAGGUGCUUGGAGGACUGUGACUGGUUGUAAGUUUGGGCACCUGUCCUUGCCACAGGCUGGGCUGCGCUCACUCAUGCACUCUGCUUACAGGACCAUGAGGUUUUCUGUCCUCAGCUCCUUGGUGAAAACAAGCUUCGUGAAAUAGCUGGGAGGUGAAAGCACAGAACUUGCCUAUUAGCUAUAUCUUUGAUUUAUUCCAAAACUUUCUUCCUCAGGUUCAGUGGAUGGAGGUGUGGAGGAAGUCUGAAGCAAGGAGGGAAGCAGAAUGCCAGGCAUGGGAGGCCUGGAGCAUGCAGCCAGUCCCAGUCCUGCUGGCUUGGGAAUGCUCUGUAAUGCCUGCAUGCCAGGCAAGAGGGAGUGACUUCAAAGCACAUCUUUAUUAGGGUACACUGCUUAGCAUCAAAGAAAUGUCAGGGCUGCUCUACACUGACUCUCUGCCUGCGGCACUAAACUAGCCUGUCAUUCAGAAGUCUCAGUACAAACCACAACUGCUGACAGAGUCCUGGAAAAAUUUAUUUUUCCACAUCUAAUUGCCCUUUUUGCUUUGUAAACAUAAAGGUUGAAGCUUAAACUCUGACAGCUCCAGUAGCCUUUUGCUUAACUCCUUAAAAAAAAUGACAUUCGGCAUGUUAAAUUUUGCUUUUACCGCUGCCUGAAAUCUCACAAAAUCUGCACAAUGUUUUUUUAAAGAUCAUUGAAGCAUUUCAGCACUCACUUUGGGAAAAACCCUUCAACUAACAAAAAGACAAAAGCUGGUGCCUGAAGAGCCAAGACCUUUCCCCAUAGCAAUUCAGGAUAAAAAUGCUUGACCAAAAGAGGCACAGCGAGCAAACGGCAUUCCACCUUUCCCUUGGAGCAGAUUAAAGAAUGCCUAUCUGCUCUUGUUAUUGUUCCAGAAAGAAAUGAAACAUCAAAGACAGGAGAAAAAGAGAAACAACUGUUAAAAAGCAAAAUUGGAUGUAUCAUAGCAGUCUGAAAACUUCCAGUUCAGUUUCUUCAGUGCCAUGGGUUCUCCGUCCUGGAGGAGGAUCCCCCGAAGUGGGGGGAUGCACUGUUCCCCAGACUCUGCACUGCCUCCUCUGAGAGCAUCGUGCCUGCAGGAGCCUCCUCUGGGUCGGGGCUUUUAGCUGCUCCUGCUGCAGUCCUUCACCAUUCAAGAUGCAUGUCCCGAAUCACUUCAACCACAGAGAAGUGAUUUUGUAGCCACAGCUCUUAAAGAAAUAUCCUCUGUUUUUCUGGGAGGUGCUGCCCAUUCCCUCCAUCUGACAUGAAAACAGGGUCAUUGCAUCACCAUCAUUGUCUCUGCAGAGACCCUCCUGGCCUGGGCUCUGCUUCCAUCUGCCCACGGAGAUGAGGACCAGACUGCCCUGCCCUCAGCCCCCAAACCUGCAUGGCACAGACCCUGUGCUCGUCCCUGCCCCUGCAGCCAGCCUGGCCAGCACCCAGCUACCCCCAGCUGAUGGAUCUGUGUCUGUGAACGAGUGACAGCGUGGUCGGCAUUGUCCUGAGUGUCAGAUUCUUCCUAAGUGCCAGCUCUAAUGGGCUGUGGAUGAUCAGAUGCUCCUGGGAUAACAAGUUUCUGGAAAGAGAUAAAUGCAGCAAAUGUGCAUGAACAGGGGAUAUUGUCAUGGCUUAACCCCAGCCAAAAACUCAGUCCCACACAACUGUUUGCUCACCCUUCUCCCUCAGAGGGAUGGGAAGGAGAAUCAGAAAAAGGGUAUUUUUUUGUAGAUUGAAAUAAGAACAGUUCAAUAAUUAAAAUAAAGUAAAAUAUUGCUACUUCUACCCUGGAGUUCAGUAGAACUGACUUUGGCCUCUUCAGGGAUCUGCUGUCAGUGUCCUUUUCAUAGAAUAUCUUCCAUACUUGCCAACCACUGGCACUCACUCUCUGCCAGGAGACCAUCUCUGUGUAGAAUAUGGUGGUCCUUUUCAACAGAGGCUUUGGCAAACAAUCAGGUUGAGUUUUGAAAUCUCUGGGAAGAGCCAGUCUGUGAUGAGUGUUGGCUUCUUCAUACCUGCCUCCAGGUUUUAUGAUUUUUCCCAAGGAAAAAAUAACAAAAAAGAUAAUUAUUUUAAAACUGUUUCUCUGAGAUCCCAGGUUGUUAAGCUUUAUGCUGCUAGAUAAAUCAAACUAACUAACUGAGUUAAUUUGUCUGACCAUAAAGUGGAUUCAAUAAGUGUAAAACAAAACUAAUUGGUUUGCUUCCAUACAAAUUUAAUCAUACUAUAAAAUGUGAUCAAUGCAAAUAAAAAGCAUUGAGUAGGUUGAUUAUCAAGAAUCUAUAAAGGAAAAAAAUGCACUUUCAGGAACUGAAAACUGUGUGGGUUCCCAUCUCUUUGCUGAUCAUCCCAUGAUGUAGAUCCAGUCCAAAUGUGCUGUGCAGGCAGGGGCUGUGGACAGGACCUUGAGAAGAAGCACUCAGAUUUCAGUGAGCUUUGUCUUGACUGCUGCAGCACUCUCAUAGAGGCCUCUGAGAUGUCAGGAGGGACAGGAGGGCAGGGGUCAGUCCCCUGUCAGUCCCUGAGCCAGGCACAGUCCCUCUCCUGCUCAGGAAGGCGGAGCAGAGAGGAGCACUGCGCACUCACAGUGGUGCCCUGACCAGAGGUGACAGUCGUGUUGCUUUGUCUGCUACUGCCCCACCAUCAGCUCCUGCCCCUGAGCUUCUGGGAGAAGCACAGCUGGGAGCCUCUUGCUGUGUCAGGCACCCUGGACAGCUUGCUUCCCCUCACUCCUUUCUCCCAUCUCCCCACAUUUCAAGGUUAAGUUCUAGUGUCUCAUAAAACAUGCUCAUGCCAUAAUUUCAGCCUGCAGAAAGUCCUUUCCAUGCAAGGGCUAGGAUCCAUAUGAAUUGCCCUGUUCUAUAGCUCCAACUACAAUAAUGAAACUUCAGGUGCUGACAGUUUUUUUGAAAAAUACCUAAUAUAGCUUAAAUAAUUAUUUAAUGCAGACAAAUAGAAAAGAGAGCAUCCAUGUGCUGUGUUGCAAUAAAUAAUACUUGUAACUUGCUGGGCAGUAGCAGCAGCAGCAUGAACAAAGGGCUCUAACAUGGCUAGAGAAGGAGGGUCCAGCUGAGGAGUCACCACAGGAAGGCCCUGCUGGGUGCUUGCGGAAAAGAGGGACAGGAUAAAGAGGGAUGAGAACCCUCCACAAGCCAAAUUAAUACAGGACUGUUGAACCUGGGGGAGUAGAAGGAGCUCUUUGUUCUGCUGCUGGUGGUGCCAGCAGCUGGCAGGGUCUGCGGGCAGAGGGGCAGCGUUGCCCAGCCCAGGUGGUGGGAAGUAGGAGAGGAGUGGGGGGCCCCACACAGGCUACCUGGGCAGCACCUCUGCUCUCUCCAGCUGCAGUCACGUCCCAGAGGUUCUGCACCACCUGCCCAUGCUGUCUGUGCCCCUGGAGCAGGGUGCAGAGUUUUCUGUGCUGGCAGAGCCUGGACUCACGUGCAGCCUUGGCCUGCUGCCCUUGUUGGGCAGUUGCUGCAGCCUGGAAGGAAAGCAUAAAAGAGUACAGGGAGGCAAAUGGCUCCUUGUGAGUGGAAUAAACUCCCAGCAAGUGUGCUGCUCUGCCAGGAGCAAAGCCCGUUCGCUUUUGGAGCUGUUCCUCCACCACUUUCCCAGGCUGAUGUGAGUUUUGUGAGUAUAGCUCUCAGUCUUUCUUUGAGCUCCACAGUCAAUGACUGCUUAUGGGUUUUUGCUUUGCUUUAUAAGCUCAGUGGUAUUUGGGAAAGCAUCCGGAUCCCCUCCAUGAGCUCUGACAGAUUACAAGGGCUGCACUUAACUGAGUUCACAGUGUUCCACUGUGUCAGCCACACAGCAGCAGGGCUGCGGAGAUGUGCCUUGGCAUAGCAGAAGAUAAAAAACUACAGCAGAGUGGAAGAUAAGUGGCAAUAAAAAGUAAAAUGUGGAAUGUCUGCCCUUUAAAAUAUAUUAGGCAGUUUAUAAAUAAGCUUUGUGUUUUUAGGCUGAAUGCAGAAUUGUUCAGUCCCUGAAGAAUCUGACCUUGAAGAGAAGAAAUGCUGUGAGCAGCUUUCAAAAUGUUCUCAGGAUGAUCAGACAGGACAAUUGCUCUUGCUUAUUAUUUCAGCAGUAGGUGGUGUGUUUGGCUGGUGCGGCUUGGGAAGAAACUUGAGCUCCUCUUUCUCCCAGGUAAUCUCAGUGUGAUGUCAGAGGCAGAGAAGAACUUGAGGGUAAAGUUACCAAGUGUUUGGUGAGAUUUCCAGGGAUGCGUCACUCCUGGCACACAAGUCACCACUCUUGGCUGGGUGACUUGUGUGCUGGUUCUGACAGCCAAGCUCUGAGGGUGUGAAGCUGAACCAGACAGAAGUGCUCAGCCUGGUUCUCGCCACCUCGCUUGGCUGCCUUGUGCUGCAAAGCUCCUGCCUGGUGAGCUGAGCUGUGCGGGUCUGCCAUGCCAGCAAAGCUCCUGCCUGCACCCUCCUCCUGAAGGGAGGAAAGAGCAUCUUUCAGGACGUGGGUGCCUGAGCUGUGCUGUUCCUGUUCUCCAAGGGUGGUGGGACACGUGUCUCCCAAGUGUCACAGUAGUGAGGCAGCCUCUUUGGGGUGGGGAGGACUUUCUGCUAAUACUGGAGAUGUUCCCAUUUGUGUUAGGUACUUAGCUUUCUUGUGGGGUGAAGUAGCAAGCCUAUGAACAGAAGACUCUGUGGGGAGUGUGGAGAGGGGAGAGGUGGGCUUUGGCCUUUGUUCUGGUAAAUGGUGAGGAGUCAGAUGCUUCCUCUGGACAGCUAGAGGUUCUGGCCCAAACUGGAAGAGGCUGCUGCUGAUUUGGGAUUCUUCUGCUUUCAGGCAGCCUGCAGUGAGGACCAGGUCUUGUCUUCUGCUGCAAUAUCUCACUCUUGAAUGAAUGCCGUCCUACCAGCCUCUGUUUGGGCAAUAUGGAAAACAGCGGCCCUGCAGAUUCUUUUAGGGCUCUUCAGCGCUGCUAGUGUGGGGGCGAGUGCCAGCCUCCCCGUGGGGCAGAGAGAUGUGAUGGCUGCUCCAAGAGCUCCUGCUGUGCAUCUGACUCCCUGAAGCUGGUCCCCUGGGAUGGUGUUUGAACUGCUUUUCUGCCUGCACAGUCCAUGGGCUGUGGUAUCCUCCACAAACCUUGGGGAGCCCAGUGGCUCCCCCCACUUAGUCCGGGCUGGGAUGCAGAGCCCCCACAGGUGCAGAUGCUGCUAUGUGAGGGGAGGGAUUCCCCCACACUCUCUGGCAUUCCUCGGUCUGGUUUCUGUUAAUUCGACGUUUUGGUGCAGAAGAUGGCCAGUAUUAAAACCCAGACUGCUCCUAGUGGGUGUGAAGUGCAGAGAAAUCAGCAUGCUGCUCCUGCCUGUGCUGCGCCCAGGCGGUAAUCGAGAUCACCACCCCGCGAUAAAUCUCUUCCUGCCAUCGGACAGAAGAGAGAAGCAGUUACUGUGGGCUUUGCCUCCAGGUUUAUUAUCAUGGGGAAACACAUGCAAAUGAAUGGCUCACCCGAUACAAAUCAGUCGUGCUGGAGCAUUUGCCGACUGCGAUGCAGACACACGAUAUCUGUGAUCUGCAGGCAAGGAGCGAGCUCAGUCGUGCCUUUGCAGUCGUGUGCAGAGGCUCUCACUGAGUGCAGCCGCCUCUGAACUGGCCUCUGUGCCCAGGCCAUGCUCUUUUCCUCCUGGAUUUUUCAGUCUAAUAGCACUGUUGAUCUGGCCUUUUUGUUUGCUCAAUGUCAGCAUUCCUCGGGGAAUGUUGCAGAGCACUAGCAGCUACACAGCCUGAAGGUGGGCUCCCAUAUUAUUUCUUCAUUAACAUUUGUUGUUCAUAAAUAUAUAUUCACUCCUAUUUAUCACAAGAACACCGAUUAUAAACCAUAAAUUCUAACUGUGGGGAAUAUUUCAGUCCAGUUUUAUUAAAAAGUGAUUUUUUAAAAUGUUGCCGAGGCUUUUAGCCAGUUAUGUGCUACUAAAUAUUUAAAUCUGUAUCUCUUGCGGCAUGCUGAAUUACAGCAAGGGGAUAUUUAAUGUUCCCAUUUCUCCAGCAUAAAUCUGUGAAAGAUUGACUGUAAGAAAAAUACAGUCAGGAACAGCCCACGUACUUGCUGAGUGCUCUCUUGUGGCAAGCGCCCACUGGCACGUCCCUGCCGCUGGCAGCA